This 276-nucleotide ribosomal RNA is filed under the name Sympetrum fonscolombii. RNAcentral's name for it is "partial 28S ribosomal RNA". Lineage: Eukaryota; Metazoa; Arthropoda; Insecta; Odonata; Libellulidae. The record is from RNAcentral.
CGGGANNNNCCACCUUUCGAGGCGCUCCCGGGGUCGGAGUGACGCACUUCUCCCCCGGUAAAACGUCGCGAUCCGUCGGUCGCCGGCCUAAGGGGGGGGGUGGAGCCUGUCGCCGCAAGACCCCGGGGAUCCCGGCCGGGUGCCCGACGGUAUGAAGAGAGGAAGGAGUCGGCGCGCCUAGGCNGUCCGCCCCUCCGCAAGCGCCCGCGGGAGUCGGAGUCGGGCCCGGCCCGGUCUGCCUUCAGCGGGGGGCUGUUUGCAGGAGGUGUGCUCGGA